GAGUUUGAUCCUGGCUCAGAACGAACGCUGGCGGCGUGCUUAACACAUGCAAGUCGAACGUGAUCCAGAGCUUGCUCUGGUGAAAGUGGCGCACGGGUGAGUAACGCGUGGAUAACCUGCCCUGGUAUCUGGGAUAACAUCUCGAAAGGGGUGCUAAUACCGGAUAAGCCUACGGGAUCUUCGGAUUCUACAGGAAAAGGAGGCCUCUAUUUAUAAGCUUCCGUAUCAUGAUGGGUCCGCGUACCAUUAGCUAGUUGGUGGGGUAAUGGCCUACCAAGGCGACGAUGGUUAGCUGGUCUGAGAGGAUGAUCAGCCACACUGGAACUGAGACACGGUCCAGACUCCUACGGGAGGCAGCAGUGGGGAAUUUUGCGCAAUGGGGGAAACCCUGACGCAGCAACGCCGCGUGAGUGAUGAAGGCUUUCGGGUCGUAAAGCUCUGUCAGAGGGGAAGAAAUGAAACGUGCUAAUAUCACGUUUUCUUGACGGUACCCUCAAAGGAAGCACCGGCUAACUCCGUGCCAGCAGCCGCGGUAAUACAAGGGCGACCUCWR
This 553-nucleotide ribosomal RNA is filed under the name uncultured Geobacteraceae bacterium. Its description in RNAcentral is "bacterial SSU rRNA". It matches the Rfam family "Bacterial small subunit ribosomal RNA", at positions 9 to 537 of the family's 1533-position model. The record is from RNAcentral. Lineage: Bacteria; Pseudomonadati; Thermodesulfobacteriota; Desulfuromonadia; Geobacterales; Geobacteraceae.